Long non-coding RNA from Aethalodelphis obliquidens (Pacific white-sided dolphin), 2107 nucleotides. RefSeq lists it as uncharacterized. The transcript has 3 exons. Lineage: Eukaryota; Metazoa; Chordata; Mammalia; Artiodactyla; Delphinidae. The record is from RefSeq and is a predicted model, not a curated record.
CUACCCAGAAGGGCAGACCUACGUUUUGGGAAAGGGGAGGGGGCGGCUGGUGUGUAGAGUUCUGUGCCACCAGGAAACAGGUGGAAGCUCUGGGGGAGUGGAGAGGGGCCUGCUGAGAGGAAGCAGGCACGGAGUCCAUUUUCAUCUGUUCCUGAAAUACGUGUAGUGGGUGAGCAGCUCACUCUGGCCUCUCAAAUUAGCAAAAGCACCACUUGGCUUUCUGAAAUGUAUUUCUAGUGGCGGUGGUGCCCUGACAGAGCCUCAUGUGUUGCUGCUGGGCAAGCUCUACCUAUCCUUUGGCACCAUGGACGGCAGCAUCACUGAUGGACAAAAGAAAUGACUAGAGACUUGGCUUCAAAAAAGGAUGAACAACGGCCCAGCGCUGACUCACCGCUCAGCUGCAAGUGCCUGGCCGAGAGGGAGGCCGCAGGCAUCCGCACAGGAGCGCAUCCCACUAAGGUGGCGUGUGCUGGGGGGCGCACAAAGCCUUCUCUUCUGCUUCUGGCUCACGGCCCAGGCUCUCCCCUGGGUCCCUUUCCCCUCCUCCUUGUCAACAUUUGCUGCGACUUCCAGUGCCAGAGGUCUUGAACUCUUCACUGCCCUCCCCAGGCCCAUCCCAGUCACCUGUGCUCACCGGCCUGUUUUCGCCUCCACUCCUGCAUUCCUGCGCGGGGCAGGGAGCCUGUGCUCACCUCCUUUCCUUCCCACGCCCACCUUGGCCCAGCCGAAAUGUUUCCUCCCUCCUUCCUUCGCUGUGGUGGAAAAGCUGUCCAACAGCCUUUAGAUGAAGACAUCGCAAAGCACAUAUCCAAUCCCAGUGGCCGUGCCCUGAGCUGCUCUGGUUAAACCCUGCCUGGAGCUUCGAACAAAGAGGACCUUUGCCAUCACAGACGAACUAAAACGUCAAACAUUUGACCACUGGGAGGAAAGUGGUGCACAUACUGAUAGACAUUCGCAUUGAGAGAGGAGCUGUGAGAAAGCGCACCAGCUAAGGUCACCUGUAUGGCAUGUGCGCCGUGCCAUGGAUGUUACCGACUGAAUUUCUUUUCAAGCCUGGGAAGCUAGCACAGCCCCAUUUAACAGCUCAACAGGGACAGUGUACUGAUCCUGUGGCCAUGUGUUUGCAGCAUCUGAAGGAUGCCAGCCAUCCUGCAGCUUUCUAGUUGCUCAGGGUCAGCAUCAGUCAUUACCUAGUAAGUUCCAAAUGCUCACUCACCUGAAUGUAGUGUGCUAAUGAAAUCUUGAAGUGGUGGAAUUUAUAACUGGGUAUCUAUGCUUCUCCCCAGUCAUUUAAAAAAAUUCAUUCCCAUACCUGGAGAGCCAAAGAAAGGCCAUAAUAUAUCUCUAGGCCACUGUCAUCACCACCACCUUUAGAAUGAGUGAGAGGAAACCAAUCAAGGGUCCCUCUCACAGCCCCUCACUGCUCCAGACUGCCUGCAGUGUAUGUAAUCCAUGCAAUUUGGGGAGUAAAUUAAAUAGAAGUUCUGUGCUAUUGUUGAUUUGAGGAAGCAUCAAGGUGUUGCACAAAAGCUUCUUCAAACAGAAAGAGACUUUUAUGAGGAAACUAGAUAUGAAGGCCUUCCCACGUCUUUGUCCCAGGAAAACAGAACGAAACUUGCCUUGUCCCCGGCUCCUGAGAAAUAGAAGAGCCAUCAUGCCCGUGUUAGAAACGUGAGCUGCAGGACUACUCAGGUUAACAAAAUAAUAAUGACUCAGUGCUUGAAGACAGUCUACAAAUAAGUGCAUCCAGUGAAGACCAAAUCUGGAAACUAUGAUCCUUGAAGAAAACGUCAGCAUUCGCACACAGAUCCAUGCCUGCAUGACAGAAGUAAUUUGCACCGUAAAGGGAAACUUGUUCCAUCCAGUUCCUGCAUGAAUUAUGUCUUUCUUGGUGACUUUGAACCGUGGAGUGGGUUAACAUCCUGGGACUCCUCUCCUGGAGGUGACAGUGGGUGUCACUUGCCUGAUAGCUGUCAUCAAGGAAAUCUGGCUGUAGGAAGAGGGAACCCAGCCAUGAGAAUAGGAUUCCAGAGCAAGAUUUAAACCCUAGUUCCUAGAGCACUACCAGGUACGUAGUAUGUAGAUGAAUGAAGGGAGGACUGAGAAG